This 568-nucleotide ribosomal RNA is filed under the name uncultured Streptococcus sp. RNAcentral describes it as "bacterial SSU rRNA". It matches the Rfam family "Bacterial small subunit ribosomal RNA", at positions 28 to 578 of the family's 1533-position model. Lineage: Bacteria; Bacillati; Bacillota; Bacilli; Lactobacillales; Streptococcaceae. The record is from RNAcentral.
GACGAACGCUGGCGGCGUGCCUAAUACAUGCAAGUAGAACGCUGAAGAGAGGAGCUUGCUCUUCUUGGAUGAGUCGCGAACGGGUGAGUAACGCGUAGGUAACCUGCCUGGCAGCGGGGGAUAACUAUUGGAAACGAUAGCUAAUACCGCAUAAAAUUGAUUAUUGCAUGAUAAUUAAUUGAAAGAUGCAAUUGCAUCACUACCAGAUGGACCUGCGUUGUAUUAGCUAGUUGGUGAGGUAACGGCUCACCAGGGCGACGAUACAUAGCCGACCUGAGAGGGUGAUCGGCCACACUGGGACUGAGACACGGCCCAGACUCCUACGGGAGGCAGCAGUAGGGAAUCUUCGGCAAUGGGGGGAACCCUGACCGAGCAACGCCGCGUGAGUGAAGAAGGUUUUCGGAUCGUAAAGCUCUGUUGUAAGAGAAGAACGGGUGUGAGAGCGGAAAGUUCACACUGUGACGGUGUCUUACCAGAAAGGGACGGUUAACUACGUGCCAUCAGCCGCGGUAAUACGUAGGUCCCGAGCGUUGUCCGGAUUUAUUGGGCGUAAAGCGAGCGCAGGCGG